CGAAUAUUGAAGAGAGAGAAAGAGUCAAAUACUCCUCUAAAGACUCGACGGAUCAUAUUUUAAAUAAUACAACAAGGUUUAUGACGGAUAAUGUAAUGCCUAGCUUUACCGUGAAGGGGAAAAGGAGAAAAUGACUUUCCAAAAGCAGUUUUUCAAGGUGUUCAAGCAAGUGUCACUGUGUUUACUGCUACUGAACAUGAGGUUGAUGGGGCAAUUGGAUCCUGUCUGAAGUACGCUCCAGACAGACAAGGAGGUGGAGGACGACGAACUAUUUACACAAGUUAAUUAACAUACAUCUCUAAACUUUCAAUUAACAAUGUGUCAUUUUAAUAAUUUAAUGUGCCUUUAUCAUUCAAUACUUUUAGUGUCUGUACAGAUUUGUUGUGAAAAUAAAACUUGUACAUCCUCUGAGUUGUUUGUUAAUUAA
Mya arenaria is the source of this 427-nucleotide long non-coding RNA. RefSeq lists it as uncharacterized. The transcript has 3 exons. NCBI's taxonomy places the organism in Eukaryota, Metazoa, Mollusca, Bivalvia, Myida, Myidae. The record is from RefSeq and is a predicted model, not a curated record.